This 360-nucleotide ribosomal RNA is filed under the name uncultured bacterium. RNAcentral's name for it is "bacterial SSU rRNA". It matches the Rfam family "Bacterial small subunit ribosomal RNA", at positions 29 to 406 of the family's 1533-position model. The record is from RNAcentral.
AACGAACGCUGGCGGCAUGCCUAACACAUGCAAGUCGAACGGGAUCCUGGCUUCGGUCAGGUGAGAGUGGCGGACGGGUGAGUAACGCGUGGGAACCUGCCCAGUGGUGGGGGAUAACUGCGGGAAACUGCAGCUAAUACCGCAUGAGCCCGAGAGGGGAAAGAUUUAUCGCCAUUGGAGGGGCCCGCGUUCGAUUAGGUAGUUGGUGAGGUAACGGCUCACCAAGCCGACGAUCGAUAGCUGGUCUGAGAGGAUGAUCAGCCACACUGGGACUGAGAUACGGCCCAGACUCCUACGGGAGGCAGCAGUGGGGAAUAUUGGACAAUGGGGGGCAACCCUGAUCAGCAAUGCCGCGUGAGU